AGGGAAGCCGUUAAGCCCGCCGCCUGGGGAGUACGGCCGCAAGGCUGAAACUUAAAGGAAUAGACGGGGGGGCACACAAGGGGUGGGGUGUGCGGUUUAAUUGGACUCAACACCGGAAACCUUACCGGGGGCGACAGCAGGAUGAUGGCCAGCCUGAAGGGCUUGCCGGACACGCUGAGAGGAGGUGCAUGGCCGCCGUCAGCUCGUCGCCGUGAGGUGUCCUGUUAAGUCAGGAAACGAGCGCGACCCGUGCCCGCAGUUGCUACGGUCUGGAAACCCAGACCGGCACACUGCGGGGACUGCCGGGGAAACCCGGAGGAAGGCGCGGGCGACGGCAGGUCCGCAUGCCCCGAAUCCCCCGGGCUACACGCGCGCAACAAUGGGCGGGACAAUGGGGAUCCGACCCCGAAAGGGGAAGGAAAUCCCCUAAACCCGCUCCCAGUCCAGAUUGCGGGCUGCAACUCGCCCGCAUGACGGCGGAAUCCCUAGUAAUCGGGGGGUCACUAUCCCCCCGGUGAAUACGUCCCUGCCCCUUGUACUCACCGCCCGUCACGCCACCCGAGCUGGCCCCCAGUGAGGCCGUAGAAAUCUACGGUCGAACUGGGGGCUGGCGAGGGGGGCGAAGUCGUCACAAGGUAGCCGUAGGGGAACCUGCGGCUGGAUC
RNAcentral lists this ribosomal RNA (664 nucleotides) under Candidatus Nanopusillus sp. RNAcentral's name for it is "bacterial SSU rRNA". It matches the Rfam family "Archaeal small subunit ribosomal RNA", at positions 805 to 1471 of the family's 1478-position model. The record is from RNAcentral. Lineage: Archaea; Nanobdellati; Nanobdellota; Candidatus Nanoarchaeia; Nanoarchaeales; Nanopusillaceae.